AUUGACUUUAACAUUUGAAAAGCAGUUUCUCCAACAAUAGUUUUAACAUGAACAUUUUGUCCAUAACUUUUUAGAGAAACUUUCCUGAAUUGAAUCAUGGGACCAGAUUGGUUGAUCCAGUUUUCCAUGCUGAUGGACAUGACUUGCCAUGUCAGAUGAAAUUCAACACCCGAUAUGUGGAAGGUGCUGGACUGGCAGAUGGGGAGCAGAUGGAGAGGCUGUGGUCGUAUCUGAGGCGCUUUGGGAAGGUCACCAAAGAAAUGAGGCCGUCCCAUCUUAUUGACCUCCUGACUGAUGCACUUCUCCACCAUGGGAAAACGCCAGAGGCUACUGGACUCUCUGCCAUAGAGGGUUUCCCCAGCAACAGAAGUUGCAACAGAGGCAAAAAGGGAAAUGGAAGAAAUUGCACAGUCUCUUCCAGGUAAACCAUUGUAUCAAUAAUCUAAGCAUAGAAUUUCAGUAUUGAUUAGAAAUGUUGUCACAUCUGUCACUGUUGUUAUGUUUUAGGAACAACACUGGACACC
Molecule: non-coding RNA, 524 nt
Organism: Salmo salar (Atlantic salmon)
Lineage: Eukaryota; Metazoa; Chordata; Actinopteri; Salmoniformes; Salmonidae
Source: RefSeq, a predicted model, not a curated record